RNAcentral lists this ribosomal RNA (812 nucleotides) under uncultured Staphylococcus sp. RNAcentral's name for it is "bacterial SSU rRNA". It matches the Rfam family "Bacterial small subunit ribosomal RNA", at positions 80 to 878 of the family's 1533-position model. Lineage: Bacteria; Bacillati; Bacillota; Bacilli; Caryophanales; Staphylococcaceae. The record is from RNAcentral.
GCCCCUUUGACGUUAGCGGCGGACGGGUGAGUAACACGUGGGUAACCUACCUAUAAGACUGGGACAACUUCGGGAAACCGGAGCUAAUACCGGAUAAUAUGUUGAACCGCAUGGUUCAAUAGUGAAAGAUGGUUUUGCUAUCACUUAUAGAUGGACCCGCGCCGUAUUAGCUAGUUGGUGAGGUAACGGCUCACCAAGGCAACGAUACGUAGCCGACCUGAGAGGGUGAUCGGCCACACUGGAACUGAGACACGGUCCAGACCCCUACGGGAGGCAGCAGUAGGGAAUCUUCCGCAAUGGGCGAAAGCCUGACGGAGCAACGCCGCGUGAGUGAUGAAGGUCUUAGGAUCGUAAAACUCUGUUAUUAGGGAAGAACAAACGUGUAAGUAACUGUGCACGUCUUGACGGUACCUAAUCAGAAAGCCACGGCUAACUACGUGCCAGCAGCCGCGGUAAUACGUAGGUGGCAAGCGUUAUCCGGAAUUAUUGGGCGUAAAGCGCGCGUAGGCGGUUUUUUAAGUCUGAUGUGAAAGCCCACGGCUCAACCGUGGAGGGUCAUUGGAAACUGGAAAACUUGAGUGCAGAAGAGGAAAGUGGAAUUCCAUGUGUAGCGGUGAAAUGCGCAGAGAUAUGGAGGAACACCAGUGGCGAAGGCGACUUUCUGGUCUGUAACUGACGCUGAUGUGCGAAAGCGUGGGGAUCAAACAGGAUUAGAUACCCUGGUAGUCCACGCCGUAAACGAUGAGUGCUAAGUGUUAGGGGGUUUCCGCCCCUUAGUGCUGCAGCUAACGCAUUAAGCACUCCGCCUGGGG